CACUUCACGUUCCUUUAUUUCCAGUCCUGUUUCACAGUCGUCAUCCAUUUGGGACUCUCGGCGGCCCCGGCGGGUGGGCGGGUGGGUUCAGGAAUGUGGCCAAAGGCCGCGGGGCAGGCGGGGGGGGGGGAGCCCUUUCACCAGACCCCGGGGCUAGUCGCUGACCAAGCAAAGUAUGGGUGGCACGUCGACCCGCUGUAGGCCUCAGAGCACUAGGAAGGCGUGAGCCACACCCCUGCCCUUCCCGGUAGUCUAGGGGUGAGAAGUAGGGGACAGACCGGUACCAUGCAAGCCGAGUAAGGCCCUAAGAUGACCAGUGAAAGGGUCUCCAGGGAGAGAGAAAUCACAUCCAAACAGGAGGCUCAGGGAUCCCUGGGUGGCGCAGCGGUUUGGCGCCUGCCUCUGGCCCAGGGCGCGAUCCUGGAGACCCGGGAUCGAAUCCCACGUCUGGCUCCCGGUGCAUGGAGCCUGCUUCUCCCUCUGCCUGUGUCUCUGCCUCUCUCUCUCUCUGUGACUAUCAUAAAUAAAAAAAAAAAAAAAAAAAAAAACAGGAGGCUCCGUAAAAGCUUUCUUCAGGAAAGCGGCUAAGAGUAAUAAAGAUUUUGAGAGGUAGAAAGAGCUCUUCCAGGCAGGGAAUCAUCAAAAAGAAUGAAGAAAACAGGGCAAUUUGGGUGUGGAAAUAGGGAACAAAGAGUAGACAUUUGGAAUUUGUCCAGAGGUUGCAAUACAUGUAGGAAACCAGUUGAAAAUGAAAUAGAAGGGUCAUUUGGGAUCACAUGGGAUAGACUGAGUACCAAGCCAAGGAGCUUUACUCUUGCAGUAGGCAACAGAAGCUGGUCAGAGCUGAUUUUGGAAGAUCAAAAGAGUUUGAUAAAUGGCUUAAAGGAGAGAGAAUGGAGGCCAGGAGUCCAGAGGAAGAGAUAUGUGGCCCAAGGAGUAAAGAGAGCCCCAAGCCCUACAGUGGGAAGAGAAAAGAGGUGAAAGACAAAACACUAGUAAGGAAGGACCAACAGGGCCUGGAAACCUAAAGAAAACUCAAAGAUGAGAAGAACCUAGUACUUGGUGAUCAUGGCUCCAGCUCCAAAAAAGGAUAAAGAAGCUGUAGCCCAAAGGACAGCUCUGCUGCCUGUCCCAGCUUCCGGGCAGGGAGGACUUGCCCCAGUUAGAGCCAUGGUCACACCAGAUUCUGCCUCCAGAAGCAAGAAGUGGGUGGCCUGAGGUUUCUUCCUCUCUAACCCCCCAGCAAAAGCCUGAGUUCUUUGGAUGCAGAGAUGACCUUCCUUCCCUUUAAAAAAAACUCCAUGAGAAUCUAGCAGGGAAAAAAAGAGUCCAUUCUAUAUAGAAAAACAACAGCAGGACUGGAAGGGUUCAGGGCCAGUCUCUCUGCAGCCACUGUUCUCACCUCCCAUUUGCCACCCCUACCCCUAAAAAUCCUGGACACCUUUCCUAUCUUCCUCCUCUGAGAACAGGAAUUGGGAACUUCUUUUGUGCUCUAUCCUAGUGCUCUAAGAUUCCCAACAAGCAGGCACUUUCCUGCACCUGCCCAAGAGUAUCU
Molecule: long non-coding RNA, 1555 nt
Filed under: Canis lupus familiaris (dog)
Lineage: Eukaryota; Metazoa; Chordata; Mammalia; Carnivora; Canidae
Description: lncRNA (ENSCAFG00000056971.1)
Source: RNAcentral